This 138-nucleotide small nucleolar RNA is filed under the name Ornithorhynchus anatinus (platypus). The record is from RNAcentral. Lineage: Eukaryota; Metazoa; Chordata; Mammalia; Monotremata; Ornithorhynchidae.
CCCCUCUCAGGACCACACCUGGAGAGUUUCCAGUAUUCUACCAGUCUCAGCUACAGGAGGAAGAGUAAAGCAGAGGCCUACCCAUUCCACUCCUAGCUUGGGCAGUGGCUAGCGAGUGGAAGGCAAUCAGCUACAAGU